RNAcentral lists this ribosomal RNA (689 nucleotides) under Cellulomonas sp. UAPS0141. Its description in RNAcentral is "bacterial SSU rRNA". It matches the Rfam family "Bacterial small subunit ribosomal RNA", at positions 56 to 755 of the family's 1533-position model. The record is from RNAcentral. Lineage: Bacteria; Bacillati; Actinomycetota; Actinomycetes; Micrococcales; Cellulomonadaceae.
UGCAAGUCGAACGGUGAUCUCGGGGNCUUGCUCCGGGUGAUCAGUKGCGAACGGGUGAGUAACACGUGAGCAACCUGCCCCUUACUCUGGGAUAAGCCUUGGAAACGAGGUCUAAUACCGGAUACGAGACGCACGGGCAUCUGUAGCGUCUGGAAAGAAUUUCGGUGAGGGAUGGGCUCGCGGCCUAUCAGCUUGUUGGUGGGGUGAUGGCCUACCAAGGCGACGACGGGUAGCCGGCCUGAGAGGGCGACCGGCCACACUGGGACUGAGACACGGCCCAGACUCCUACGGGAGGCAGCAGUGGGGAAUAUUGCACAAUGGGCGCAAGCCUGAUGCAGCGACGCCGCGUGAGGGAUGACGGCCUUCGGGUUGUAAACCUCUUUCAGCAGGGAAGAAGCGCAAGUGACGGUACCUGCAGAAGAAGCSCCGGCUAACUACGUGCCAGCAGCCGCGGUAAUACGUAGGGCGCAAGCGUUGUCCGGAAUUAUUGGGCGUAAAGAGCUCGUAGGCGGUWUGUCGCGUCUGCUGUGAAAACCUCAGGCUCAACCUGGGGCUUGCAGUGGGUACGGGCAGACUAGAGUGCGGUAGGGGUGACUGRAAUUCCUGGUGUAGCGGUGGAAUGCGCAGAUAUCAGGAGGAACACCGAUGGCGAAGGCAGGUCACUGGGCCGCAACUGACGCUNASRAGCG